This 851-nucleotide ribosomal RNA is filed under the name uncultured Treponema sp. RNAcentral describes it as "partial 23S ribosomal RNA". It matches the Rfam family "Bacterial large subunit ribosomal RNA", at positions 981 to 1820 of the family's 2925-position model. The record is from RNAcentral. Lineage: Bacteria; Pseudomonadati; Spirochaetota; Spirochaetia; Treponematales; Treponemataceae.
GAGUGAGACUGCGGGCGACAAGGUUUGUAGUCGAGAGGGAAACAGCCCAGACCGUCAGCUAAGGUCCCUAAAUACCGAUAAGUGUGAAAUGAUGUGUGAUUGCGAAGACAGCCAGGAGGUUGGCUUAGAAGCAGCCAUUCCUUAAAAGAGUGCGUAAUAGCUCACUGGUCGAGUAAUGAUGCGCAGACAAUGUAACGGGGCUAAGCGGUAUACCGAAGCUACGGAAUCAGCACCUAGGUGUUGGUUGGUAGGGGAGCAUUCCAUGGACCGAAGAAGGUAAACUGUAAGGUUUGCUGGAGGGGAUGGAAGAGAGAAUGCAGGUAUAAGUAGACGAAAAGACGGGUGAGAUUCCCGUCCGCCGAAAGCAUAAGGAUUCCUGGGUAAAGGUCAUCUGCCCAGGGUAAGUCGGCCCCUAAGGUGAGGACGAAAGUCGUAAUCGAUGGGAAACUGGUUCAGAUUCCAGUACCUUAUUAAGUUUCGAGGGGAUGACGCAUGAGGUGAAACCCGGCCGGGCGACGGUAGUCCCGGUCAAAGCAGCGAGUUGAUGAUUCCGGCAGGCAAAUCCACCGGGAGAGAUGAGCUGUGACAGCGAGUGGAGCGACCGCGAAGCGAAGCGGGCGUAAUCAAGGUGCCAAGAAAUAAUCUCUAAGGCUAGGCUUAAUAAGACCGUACCGUAAACCGACACAGGUAUGCGGGAUGAGAAAUCUCAGGCGCUCGAGAGAACUCGCGUUAAGGAACUCGGCAAAAUACAUACGUAACUUCGGGAGAAGUAUGACCAUCUUUGGUUUAGCAAUAAGUUAAGGGUGGUGGCACAGAGCAGUCCCAGGCGACUGUUUAUCAAAAACACAGGC